This 415-nucleotide long non-coding RNA is filed under the name Mytilus galloprovincialis (Mediterranean mussel). The record is from RNAcentral. Lineage: Eukaryota; Metazoa; Mollusca; Bivalvia; Mytilida; Mytilidae.
AUCCAAGCCUUCCAAAAUUUAAUAAAUGUUACUGAUAUAAAUACAGAAAAGUCAUUUGUGGGGCUACAUAUUUGUUUUUUAGUUUGGUUUUUUGUAUAUUAUUUAGGCCACUAGUUUUCUUUUUUGAAUUGUUUUAGAUUUGUAAUUUCAGGGCCAUUAAAAGCUGACUGUGUUGUGGUUGUUCAUUGUUGAAGGCUGUAUGAUAAACGAUAGUCUCUUGUGAAGAGUUAGGAAAUCAUACCAAAUUUUCUUUUUUAUAUCUAUCAUGUCAUGAGCAUGUUGAAGUCAUACUCUUCUGAAUACCAUGUAAUCUUCAUAAAAUAGCUGCACCAAUAAAAACUGAUGGUUUACUGAAACCUGCUGUAUUUCAACUACUCAUUACCACUCUUGUAUAUGUUUAUGAUUACCUCCCUUG